This 535-nucleotide long non-coding RNA is filed under the name Phoenix dactylifera (date palm). RNAcentral's name for it is "long non-coding RNA (PDAC_LNC020439)". The record is from RNAcentral. Lineage: Eukaryota; Viridiplantae; Streptophyta; Magnoliopsida; Arecales; Arecaceae.
CAACAGUUAAACGGGUUAAACGGUUUAAACGGGUCAGACAUCUAAAACCCGUAUCCGACCCAAUUAAUAAACAGGUUAAACGGGUCGACCUGUUUACGACCCGAACCUAUUUAGGCCAAACCCAAACCUGUUUAUGGCGGGUCGAACACGGGUCGGGUUGGCGGGUCGGGUCAUAUUUUGCCACCCCUACAAACAAUUCUUGGAGCAGGAGCUAACCAGACACGCACUGAACCACGCCCUGCUCUCUCUUUCUCUCUCUCGCGUUGGGACGAUCCUCUGCGAGUUUACGCUUGCGCUGGAGAAAACAUCUCCGUAAGUUAGAAAUCCUCUUCAUGUCUUAUGCUCCAAUAUUUCCCCAACUGGUUUUUGAUCUAAUUUGAUCUUUCUUUUGACCUUCUUCCCCUUUAAGUUUGGUCACGGCAGAAACCCUAGAUUGUGGUGAAAAUAGAUAUCAAAAUAAUUGGUAUCAACUCGUGGUGAUUUCUUCUUUCUCUCUAUAUUUGCAGUACGAUCAUUGAUGUUAUUCUAAUGGAUG